CGGGGUAUAGCGCAGCUUGGUAGCGCGCCUGCCUUGGGAGCAGGAGGCCAGGGGUUCAAAUCCCUUUGCCCCGACCA
This 77-nucleotide transfer RNA is filed under the name Peptococcaceae bacterium. RNAcentral's name for it is "tRNA-Pro". It matches the Rfam family "tRNA". Rfam says of the family: Transfer RNA (tRNA) molecules are approximately 80 nucleotides in length. The record is from RNAcentral. Lineage: Bacteria; Bacillati; Bacillota; Clostridia; Eubacteriales; Peptococcaceae.